UCGUCCCAGAUCUCGCGAGACUCUGGUGCUUCAACCGAUCCUCCAGCCGGAUCCGCCCGAGGCGCCAAACCUCGCGCUACUGGCUGCGGGUGUGCCGGGGAACCAGACCCAGAUUAGCAAAAGUGCUAGAGGGUUAGCCCGAGUCGAAACCACCUUGUUGGCAUUCUGAUUUUACAGAAGAGGAAACAAGCUCAGGUCAACUAACCUGCCCAAGAUCACACAGCUGGUAAAUUAUAAAGACUUCCUGCCUGGCGCCUGCAGUUGAAUGGUGGCCAUCUUCCUGUCCUAAGGGUCAACUCUGUCAGGCCUCUGGAGGUAAUAGCUCCCCCACUGUGCUUUCCUCUAGGAGCUUCACCAUGUUGCCCCACAUCUUCAUAUAUCCCUCCAUUAACUCUCCUCAGUAACCCUAUUUGAGUGUGCCAUCUGUUGCCUGCCAGGACCUUAACACGUGAUAUUUGUGUAUUUUUUAAUAAAGUAUAUAUGUAUAAUUGUAUGUUUAUAUACACAUAGGAAACAUCUGGAAAGAUGCACAUCACACUGUUAGUAACGGUUACCACCUGGUAAUGGAGAUGGCAGAGGGGCGGGACAAGGGGGAAAAAAGACGGCUUUUAUUUUAUGUCUGUACCAUUUGAAUUCCUUAAAACAAUAGGCUUGUAUUACUUUUGAAAUUAAAAACA
Equus caballus (horse) is the source of this 677-nucleotide long non-coding RNA. RefSeq lists it as uncharacterized. The record is from RefSeq and is a predicted model, not a curated record. NCBI's taxonomy places the organism in Eukaryota, Metazoa, Chordata, Mammalia, Perissodactyla, Equidae.